This 290-nucleotide long non-coding RNA is filed under the name Brassica napus (rape). RNAcentral's name for it is "long non-coding RNA (BNAP_LNC020078)". Lineage: Eukaryota; Viridiplantae; Streptophyta; Magnoliopsida; Brassicales; Brassicaceae. The record is from RNAcentral.
UUAGGGUUUAGGGUUAAUUUUUUUAGGGUUUAGGGUUUAGGGUUAAUUUUUUUAGGGUUUAGGGUUUAGAGUUUACUUUUUAGGGUUUAGGGUUUAGUGUUGAUAGUUUAGGGUUUAGUGUUGAUGGUUUAGGGUUUAGAGUUGAAGUUUAGGGUUUAGAGUUGAAGGUUUAGGGUUUAGGGUUUAGAGUUGAUGGUUUAGGGUUUAGAGUUGAAGUUUAGGGUUUAGGGUUUAGAGUUGAUGUUUCGGAGUUUAGGGUUUAGAGUUGAUGUUUCAGGGUUUAGGGUUCG